CGGUGUUACAAGAGACUAGGUGGACAAUCUAAGGGAACUAAAUUAACAUGGAUUCCAGCACAGUGUGCUCAACAACCGGGAUCACUAGAUUGUGGCUACUACGUCAUGCGUUUUAUGUACGACAUAAUAAUGAAUCAUGGUAAUAGUCAAGAUCUUACUAAGGAUUUUUCAAGAACAUUGCCUUAUUCAGCGGAGGAGAUUAAUGAGGUGAAAGAUUUUUGGGCAGAUUACUUCAUGAACAAUGUCGAAUUUUUAGCUUAAUUUGUAAUAUGAACUUGAUCUCUAGCUAGCUACGUACCUUUGUUGUAAUAAUUUUAUGUUUGUUGUAACAUGUUGGUUGAUCGAUCUAUGACGAAUUUAAUUGCCUUUUAUUGGGAACGUUAAUUACGUUGUAAACUUUUGUGACAGGUAUUAAUUAUAAAUGUAUUCCCGGUAUUGGGAAUGAA
Molecule: long non-coding RNA, 446 nt
Organism: Spinacia oleracea (spinach)
Lineage: Eukaryota; Viridiplantae; Streptophyta; Magnoliopsida; Caryophyllales; Amaranthaceae
Exons: 3
Source: RefSeq, a predicted model, not a curated record